CUCUGUGUACGCAUGAGACUCAGGGCAAAAAGAG
Molecule: non-coding RNA, 34 nt
Filed under: Paenibacillus sp. P1XP2
Lineage: Bacteria; Bacillati; Bacillota; Bacilli; Caryophanales; Paenibacillaceae
Source: RNAcentral